AACUGCACUGUUGACUGGAGAACUCAUCACUAGUUCAGCCUUGAUAUAAAUCAUGUUCACUUUGUAUCUGUUGCCGUUGCUGGCCGCAGUGUCUGGUAUUGACUCUCAGGUUGUGCUCACACAGUCUGAACAGUCAGUAGUUGUGGCUCCAGGAGGUUCCCACAAACUGACCUGUGCAUGUAGUGGAUUCACUCUUAGUGGCACUAACAUGUAUUGGAUCCGCCAGGCACCUGGAAAAGGACUGGAAUGGAUUAUUUAUUAUUAUUCAGAUUCUGAUAAGAGCUCAGCUCAGUCAGUCCAGGGCAGGUUCACUGCAACUAAGGACAGCUCUAAUUUCUAUCUGCACAUGAAUCAGCUGAAGACUGAAGACGCUGCAGUGUAUUACUGUGCAAGAGACACUGUGGAAACACUAAUACAGGCAGCUGCUCAAAAACUCAUGAGAAAUGAAGUGGACAUGGUUGAGUUACACUGAAAAAAGGGAAGAGUC
Rhinichthys klamathensis goyatoka is the source of this 487-nucleotide non-coding RNA. NCBI's taxonomy places the organism in Eukaryota, Metazoa, Chordata, Actinopteri, Cypriniformes, Leuciscidae. The record is from the annotation of a RefSeq genome assembly.